Molecule: small RNA, 107 nt
Filed under: unclassified sequences
Description: Candidatus Synechococcus Guanidine-I sequence
Rfam family: Guanidine-I riboswitch aptamer
About the family: This family represents a conserved RNA structure found upstream of the ykkC and yxkD genes in Bacillus subtilis and related genes in other bacteria.
Source: RNAcentral
GGAAGCGAUUUCUAGGGUUCCGGCCCCCAAUUCCCCUGGGGGCGUCUGGUCCAAGAGAAGUCCACUGGGUUCACCCAGAUGCACGGAGGGACAAAAACCCGGGAGGC